RNAcentral lists this ribosomal RNA (373 nucleotides) under uncultured organism. RNAcentral's name for it is "partial 16S ribosomal RNA". It matches the Rfam family "Bacterial small subunit ribosomal RNA", at positions 527 to 896 of the family's 1533-position model. The record is from RNAcentral.
GUAGGUGGCAAGCGUUGUCCGGAAUUAUUGGGGCGUAGAGCGCGCGCAGGCGGUUCUUUAAGUCUGAUGUGAAAGCCCACGGGCUCAACCGUGGAGGGUCAUUGGAAACUGGAGAACUUGAGUACAGAGGAGGAAAGCGGAAUUCCACGUGUAGCGGUGAAAUGCGUAGAGAUGUGGAGGAACACCAGUGGCGAAGGCGGCUUUCUGGUCUGUAACUGACGCUGAGGCGCGAAAGCGUGGGGAGCAAACAGGAUUAGAUACCCUGGUAGUCCACGCCGUAAACGAUGAGUGCUAAGUGUUAGGGGGUUUCCGCCCCUUAGUGCUGCAGCUAACGCAUUAAGCACUCCGCCUGGGGAGUACGGCCGCAAGGCUG